CUGACGAGCGGCGGACGGGUGAGUAAUGUAUGGGGAUCUGCCCGAUAGAGGGGGAUAACUACUGGAAACGGUAGCUAAUACCGCAUAACGUCGAAAGACCAAGAGGGGGACCUUCGGGCCUCUUGCCAUCAGAUGUGCCCAGAUGGGAUUAGCUAGUAGGUGGGGUAACGGCUCACCUAGGCGACGAUCCCUAGCUGGUCUGAGAGGAUGACCAGCCACACUGGAACUGAGACACGGUCCAG
This 242-nucleotide ribosomal RNA is filed under the name uncultured bacterium. Its description in RNAcentral is "partial 16S ribosomal RNA". It matches the Rfam family "Bacterial small subunit ribosomal RNA", at positions 88 to 334 of the family's 1533-position model. The record is from RNAcentral.